This 186-nucleotide non-coding RNA is filed under the name Streptomyces sp. RNAcentral also lists the same sequence under 1 other name. Lineage: Bacteria; Bacillati; Actinomycetota; Actinomycetes; Kitasatosporales; Streptomycetaceae. The record is from RNAcentral.
UGAUAACUUGCGCAAGCCAGUCAAACCCACACCUGGGCCAGGGAAUCCGGUGCGAAUCCGGAACUGACGCGCAGCGGUGAGGGGGACGGGCGGGGCACACGGCCACUGGGCGUCCACGGACGCCCGGGAAGGCGCUCCGUCCGGCCGAUCCCGAGUCCGAAGACCUGCUGGCGCCUCUGCCCGCAC